This 550-nucleotide long non-coding RNA is filed under the name Hordeum vulgare. RNAcentral's name for it is "long non-coding RNA (HVUL_LNC013507)". The record is from RNAcentral. Lineage: Eukaryota; Viridiplantae; Streptophyta; Magnoliopsida; Poales; Poaceae.
UUGAAUAUAAAACGUACAACAUUGUGUAUUUAAUCUACAUAACCAACUCCCGCCUUAAGAAAUCAAAACACACUCUAUGUAUAUGGAUAGCAACAUAUGGUGCCGCAACAAUUGAAAUAGGGUUGUGUUAGGCGUGAGACAACUAUAGUUGGGAGGGAAACCAGGUGUGUACCAACCGUCAAAUUUGAUUUAAGUCGGGAUCUUGAGCAAUCUGGUCUAUGCAACAAUAAAGAAUUACCCCGUACGACACGUGUAUCAUAUUCUACAACAUUGUCUUAAUGAAUGUGUGAGAAAAUGAUGCAACAUUUCCAGUCACUUGACGCGGCAAUGCAUUGAUGGAUGGAUCGACCUCGAUCACCCGGGUCUCCGUCCGUCCGUCCAAUCGAAACGCACGCAUAUAGUCCCCGCGGCACCCGUUCUCGAUCAGCGCAUGCACCCGGCCGCAGGCAGCUGUAUCCAUCCGUCCGUCAAUGGAUGAAAUCACCAUCUGUCCCCCCUGCCCCUUCCGCCCGACACGGCGAGCUCUGGCCCGCGGCGCCGUGCCGUGCCG